AAGUCGUAACAAGGUAACCGUAGGUGAACCUGCGGUUGGAUCAUUACCAAUUUAAAUAGGGCCUGUAAAGGGUCUUACAAACCAUGUGCACUUUAAUAAUUGUUUUUGGGUUUAGUUUCAUUACUAAGCCCAACCUUUUUUAUAAACCUUUUACUGUCAAGUUUCUGAUUGUUUUUUUUAAAAAUUUUAAAAUAACUUUUGACAACGGAUCUCUUGGCUCUC
RNAcentral lists this unclassified non-coding RNA (222 nucleotides) under fungal sp. RNAcentral describes it as "partial internal transcribed spacer region". The stretch from base 1 to 46 matches the Rfam family "Eukaryotic small subunit ribosomal RNA", at positions 1786 to 1831 of the family's 1831-position model. The record is from RNAcentral. RNAcentral also lists the same sequence under 1 other name. Lineage: Eukaryota; Fungi.